RNAcentral lists this unclassified non-coding RNA (345 nucleotides) under soil metagenome. RNAcentral's name for it is "partial contains 5.8S ribosomal RNA, internal transcribed spacer 2, and large subunit ribosomal RNA". The stretch from base 1 to 120 matches the Rfam family "5.8S ribosomal RNA", at positions 35 to 154 of the family's 154-position model. The record is from RNAcentral.
GAUGAAGAACGUAGCGAAAUGCGAUACGUAAUGUGAAUUGUAGAAUUCAGUGAAUCAUCGAGUCUUUGAACGCACAUUGCGCCCCCUGGUAUUCCGGGGGGCAUGCCUGUCCGAGCGUCAUUGCUGCCCUCAAGCACGGCUUGUGUGUUGGGCCUCCGUCCUCCUCCCGGGGGACGGGCCCGAAAGGUAGCGGCGGCACCGCGUCCGGUCCUCGAGCGUAUGGGGCUUCGUCACCCGCUCUUGUAGGCCCGGCCGGCGCUUGCCGACACAUCAAUCUUUUUUCCAGGUUGACCUCGGAUCAGGUAGGGAUACCCGCUGAACUUAAGCAUAUCAAUAAGCGGAGGA